UAUAGGUCCUGGAUGACUGGUAUACAGGUCCUGGAUGACUGGUAUACAGGUCCUGGAUGACUGGUAUACAGGUCCUGGAUGACUGGUAUACAGGUCCUGGAUGACUGGUAUACAGGUCCUGGAUGACUGGU
This is a long non-coding RNA of Oncorhynchus keta (chum salmon), 131 nucleotides long. RefSeq lists it as uncharacterized. NCBI's taxonomy places the organism in Eukaryota, Metazoa, Chordata, Actinopteri, Salmoniformes, Salmonidae. The record is from RefSeq and is a predicted model, not a curated record. The transcript is spliced from 3 exons.